This is a long non-coding RNA of Gossypium raimondii (Peruvian cotton), 1029 nucleotides long. RefSeq lists it as uncharacterized. The transcript has 3 exons. NCBI's taxonomy places the organism in Eukaryota, Viridiplantae, Streptophyta, Magnoliopsida, Malvales, Malvaceae. The record is from RefSeq and is a predicted model, not a curated record.
AUCACUAAGCCACUUAACACUACCACUUCUCAUUCAAUCGUUGCAUACCGUGGACGGUGCCUCGGUUCUGUUUCUACGUCGCCGAAUGUCUCUUCUACGAUGGACUCGGUAAACAAACCCAUUGUCCUCGUCUUAAUUUUUCCCCCUAGAUUCAUCAUUUUCCGAGUUCCUCGGAGCUUCGUUGACCCUUUAUCUUCUCCGGACUCAGCCCACCACAACCACCGAUACUACUUUCACUAAGCACUUCUCCCUUGAUCCCUUAGUACUAUGGGUUCAACCUCCAACGGAGUUUCUUCCACCCAGAAAGCCGAAGAGUCGCUUCCUCUUCCCCAGGCAGCCAUCGCAUGCGCUGUUCCGUUGGCUUCUCGCGCUUUUUUAUGACGGUUCUUGAGUCCCCUUCGAUGAUUACAUUGCCAAACCCCAUUUCUUCUGCAAAGACAACUCCUUGAAGGCAUGCAUACACUUUGGAGGUUGUCGGAUCUCAAACGUUGUUGAUCAGAGGACUUGUUUCACAAGCUUGCAAUCUCCAAAAAUAUGGCUAACUGACUCAUCUUCUUCCCCACAUAGCGAGCAUAGGGCAUCAUAUCUCAGCCUACGGGCUUUAAAGUUACUUAAUGUAGGAAAGAAAUUAUUUUUAAUUCUCCAUAGAUUGAUCCGUACCUUGCUGGGAAUCUUUAGGCUCCAAAUUUUUGUAUAAUAAUUUCUAGUUUGUUCCAGAUAUGUUGUUAUUUCAUUUCUCAACAGGUUUAGAUCCUCUGUGACACACCGUUUGUAACGGGUUUUUGUCGUGUAUUCCCCCAACUUGUCACCUCGCCAAACCCUUUUAUCUGGUUGUAAGGCGUUCCCUAAGGGGAUGGAGCCAAUUAUCUUAGCCUGUUCUUCAGGGAAAAGCCCUCUUAAGGUUUCUUCCUUCCAGGUAACAGAUUCAUAGUUAAUUAGAUCUGCAACUAAAGUGUACUUGUAAUCUAUAUUCUGAAACUGUAAUUUUCCUUCUCCAGAAAGCCAUGCAUCGUUCUAUAUAUUAACUUA